AAGCCGGUGAUGAUUGUAUUAUUUUUGUUGGAAUUACCGUCUGAAUUCUUUUGAUGUCAAACAUACUGGCUGCUUUCUGAGGCUUCAC
RNAcentral lists this small nucleolar RNA (88 nucleotides) under Morus notabilis. Lineage: Eukaryota; Viridiplantae; Streptophyta; Magnoliopsida; Rosales; Moraceae. The record is from RNAcentral.